CGUGGACUCACUAGUUAGCGCAAGUAUUAGUCAAACUCUCUUCCGCGUCUCUCACAAAAGUCAAUACUUAAACAAAUAACGUGCACAGGCUCCCCUACGACGCCGUAUCGUUGCUCAAAAACCAAAAGCCUUCUCAGUCUUCAGGUCCCUUCCCUCAACUCCAACGUCGCCAUUCCCCAAUCCUCCUCCCUUCACAGUCUUCCCGCGAAUCCAAUUCCACCGCCCGAACCCGAAAUCGAAACCGUUUCGAUCACUUAACCGGGAAUCUGACCGGAAUCUCUCUCAGAUUCCGAUCCGAGCCAGAGACGGAGCUCCGGCUCAGCAGUGACCCCGGCGUGCGGCGAUCGGAUCGCCG
RNAcentral lists this long non-coding RNA (355 nucleotides) under Rosa chinensis. RNAcentral's name for it is "sRNA RchiOBHm_Chr5g0014011". The record is from RNAcentral. Lineage: Eukaryota; Viridiplantae; Streptophyta; Magnoliopsida; Rosales; Rosaceae.